Molecule: ribosomal RNA, 937 nt
Filed under: uncultured bacterium
Lineage: Bacteria
Description: bacterial SSU rRNA
Rfam family: Bacterial small subunit ribosomal RNA
Source: RNAcentral
AGAGUUUGAUCCUGGCUCAGAACGAACGCUGGCGGCGUGGAUAAGACAUGCAAGUCGAGCGCUGAUUACGGGGUAGCAAUAUUCCGUAGUCGGAGCGGCGCAAGGGUGCGUAACACGUGGGUAAUCUGCCAUGAAGUUUGGAAUAACUCGCUGAAAGGCGAGCUAAUGCCGGAUGUGAAAGCUGGGAGGCAUCUCUUGGUUUUCAAAGCUGGGGACCGUAAGACCUGGCGCUUCAUGAUGAGCCCGCGGCCUAUCAGCUAGUUGGUAAGGUAACGGCUUACCAAGGCUAAGACGGGUAGCUGGUCUGAGAGGACGACCAGCCACACUGGAACUGAGACACGGUCCAGACACCUACGGGUGGCAGCAGUCGAGAAUUUUUCACAAUGGGCGCAAGCCUGAUGGAGCGACGCCGCGUGGGGGAUGAAUGGCUUCGGCCCGUAAACCCCUGUCAUUUGCGAUCAACCGUUGUUAUUUAAAAGAUGACAGCCUGAUAGUAGCGAGAGAGGAAGGGACGGCUAACUCUGUGCCAGCAGCCGCGGUAAUACAGAGGUCCCAAGCGUUGUUCGGAUUCACUGGGCGUAAAGGGUGCGUAGGUGGCGGAGUAAGUCGGAUGUGAAAUCUCCGAGCUCAACUCGGAAACUGCAUUGGAAACUACUCUGCUCGAGGGUUGGAGGGGGGACUGGAAUACUUGGUGUAGCAGUGAAAUGCGUAGAUAUCAAGUGGAACACCAGUGGCGAAGGCGAGUCCCUGGACAACUCCUGACACUGAGGCACGAAAGCUAGGGGAGCAAACAGGAUUAGAUACCCUGGUAGUCCUAGCCGUAAANCGGUGCAUGUUUGCUGUAAAAGGAAUCGACCCCUUUUGUGGCGUAGCCAACGCGUUAAACAUGCCGCCUGGGAAGUACGGUCGCAAGAUUAAAACUCAAAGGAAUUGACGG